Molecule: ribosomal RNA, 476 nt
Filed under: uncultured bacterium
Lineage: Bacteria
Description: partial 16S ribosomal RNA
Rfam family: Bacterial small subunit ribosomal RNA
Source: RNAcentral
GACGAACGCUGGCGGCGUGCUUAACACAUGCAAGUCGAACGGUAAGGCCUUCGGGUACACGAGUGGCGAGCGGGUGAGUAACACGUGGGUGAUCUGCCCUGCACUUCGGGAUAAGCCUGGGAAACUGGGUCUAAUACCGGAUAGGACUCCGGACUGCAUGGUCUGGGGUGGAAAGCUUUUGCGGUGUGGGAUGGGCCCGCGGCCUAUCAGCUUGUUGGUGGGGUGAUGGCCUACCAAGGCGACGACGGGUAGCCGGCCUGAGAGGGUGACCGGCCACACUGGGACUGAGAUACGGCCCAGACUCCUACGGGAGGCAGCAGUGGGGAAUAUUGCACAAUGGGCGCAAGCCUGAUGCAGCGACGCCGCGUGAGGGAUGACGGCCUUCGGGUUGUAAACCUCUUUCAGCAUCGACGAAGCGAAAGUGACGGUAGGCGCAGAAGAAGGACCGGCCAACUACGUGCCAGCCGCCGCCGUAA